UACGAAGGGGGCUAGCGUUGUUCGGAAUCACUGGGCGUAAAGGGCGCGUAGGCGGCUAUGUAAGUCGGGGGUGAAAGCCUGUGGCUCAACCACAGAAUUGCCUUCGAUACUGCAUGGCUUGAGACCGGAAGAGGUCAGCGGAACUGCUGAGUGUAGGAGGUGAAAUUCGUAGAUAUUCGCAAGAACACCAGUGGCGAAGGCG
RNAcentral lists this ribosomal RNA (202 nucleotides) under uncultured bacterium. Its description in RNAcentral is "partial 16S ribosomal RNA". It matches the Rfam family "Bacterial small subunit ribosomal RNA", at positions 524 to 723 of the family's 1533-position model. The record is from RNAcentral.